Molecule: non-coding RNA, 1066 nt
Organism: Procambarus clarkii (red swamp crayfish)
Lineage: Eukaryota; Metazoa; Arthropoda; Malacostraca; Decapoda; Cambaridae
Source: RefSeq, a predicted model, not a curated record
CAACCACCGUCCACCACCACAACCCUCACUGCCAUCGCCACACUACCCAUCAUCAACCUCAACCAGCAAACCAUCCCACCCCAGCCAAGCACGAUAAGAGUAAGGAACACCACUAAUGAUAACGAGUCGGUACAUUCAGGGGGUGAUGACGGUGACGGCAGAGCAUCCAGGGCAUCCAAGACAGGUCUUACUGCAAGACCACGUAGACUAUGUAAGACCACCACACCAUCUCCUGCAGUAGUCAUCCAGGACAGGUCUUACUGCAAGACCACGUCGACUAUGUAAGACCACCACACCAUCUCCUGAAGUAGUCAUCCAGGACAGGUCUUACUGCAAGACCACGUCGACUAUGUAAGACCACCACACCAUCUCCUGAAGUAGUCAUCCAGGACAGGUCUUACUGCAAGACCAUGUCGACAGCCUAAGACCGCUGCACCAUCUCAAGAAGUUAAGAUCAAAACAUUACAGUCAUCCUUGAUAAGAGUUCAUAAUUUUCUCUAAUGAUUAUUUUUAUUUAAGCAACAGCUGAAAAAAUAUAUAAUUAUAAUGUUUAGAAAUUAAUUAGUUCACCCACAAUCAAUUUACAACAAAGAAGAAAAUACGGCCUAUUAUGAAAAAUAUUAAACAAAGAUUAAAUUAAAAUUUACUUCAUUAGUUGUGGUAACUUAAGAGAUAGGAAAUAUAACUUAGAUAUAUUAAUAAAAGAUCUAAAUUUACCAGUUUAAAUUUAAUGGAUUAAAUGUCACUGUUUUUGUAUUAAAACGAUUAUUUUAUGUGAAAAAGUUAUCAAUAAAAUAAAAUAUUGCUAAAGGCUAUUACAAAUUAUUUAUUACGUAAUAUGAUCAUUUUCUAAAUAGAAAACAAAUCUCAUAAGCUUUAUAGCUUUCCAGAAAACACAUUAGACAAACAUGUGCAUAAGAUGAGUCGCCUACUUACAGAAGACAGUAGCACACCAGUGAUAUCAACAUAUGCAAGACACCUGUAUAUAUGUGACAAUAUAAUGAGAAAGAUGUGUAAGCGAUAAACAAUUGUAAACCAUAAAAUGACAAAAUAUCCAAGAUGUCAA